AACACAUGCAAGUCGAACGCUUGUCGGGCUUCGGUCCGGCGGGAGUGGCGCACGGGUGAGUAGCGCGUGGGAACCUGCCCUGUUGUGGGGGAUAACCGAGGGAAACUUCGGCUAAUACCGCAUGCGCCCGCGGAGUUGAUCUGCGGGGAAAGAUUUAUCGCAGCAGGAGGGGCCCGCGUCGGAUUAGCUGGUUGGCGGGGUAACGGCCCACCAAGGCGAUGAUCCGUAGCUGGUCUGAGAGGAUGAUCAGCCACACUGGGACUGAGACACGGCCCAGACUCCUACGGGAGGCAGCAGUGGGGAAUAUUGGACAAUGGGGGCAACCCUGAUCCAGCAAUGCCGCGUGAGUGAUGAAGGCCUUCGGGUUGUAAAGCUCUUUCGCCCGCGACGAUGAUGACGGUAGCGGGAGAAGAAGCCCCGGCUAACUUCGUGCCAGCAGCCGCGGUAAUACGAAGGGGGCGAGCGUNGUUCGGAAUCACUGGGCGUAAAGGGCGCGUAAGC
Molecule: ribosomal RNA, 501 nt
Filed under: uncultured bacterium
Lineage: Bacteria
Description: bacterial SSU rRNA
Rfam family: Bacterial small subunit ribosomal RNA
Source: RNAcentral